Molecule: long non-coding RNA, 868 nt
Filed under: Homo sapiens (human)
Lineage: Eukaryota; Metazoa; Chordata; Mammalia; Primates; Hominidae
Description: HSALNT0265298
Source: RNAcentral
CUUUUAUAAAAAUACAAAUGGCCAGACUAGGUGAAACUCAUUAACUGAAGAGGAGGAUAAGUGUCUCCACAACUGAGAGGGAGGACUGGCGCAGGGUCUGAGUGGAACAAAGGCCCCUCAAAGUUUGGCAGAGGCCACAGCAAACCUGUUUCAAAAAUGCUUACUCAGCAGAUGUGACCUUUUCCUAAAUGUUUUUGGGUUUUACAACAAUCUAACUUACCUUUUCCAAUUGAGGCACGGAAACCAAAAGCCAGAGUCAAAGUUGCAGAGAGGAACGGAGGGAUUGCAGUGAGAUUUGGUGAACAUCUGGGGAAGUUUCAAAGAAGAUGCCUAGACUGGGGAACUGCAUUCACAUCCCAUCAGGAAUUUGCGCUCUCCAGCGUGGAGAAACAAGCCACAGGAGGAUUCUGCUUUACUGAGUGGAGGAGAAAUCCAUCGAGAAUGGGCCGUUUGCUAGUUCAUUCGUUUGGUGACUUUUUCCUGAUGGGAAAUAGCAGAGCAGUGGAUCACCAGGAAUAGAGUCUGGCGAGAUCGCAGCUCCAGGAUCCUUUCGGGGUGGGCAGGAGGCGUCAGUCAGUGGGACGGAGCCAGAUCGAGAAACUGGGGACUCUAAGUUGACUCUUCAGGGAAUGUCCAGAUUUUAGAUUUCUAAGCAUAGCAAAAUUCGGUUACUUUCACACUUGGAACUUAAAACGGCAGCCUCGGAAGGAAGACCAUUUCUGGUAUUCUACAGCUCUGCUGCUUGCAGGGAGUUGAGAUGCAGCGGCAGGUUGAGAAGCUGCGGCGCCGCGGACGAGGAAGGAGGGUGCGCCCGAGGGUAGAGGAAGGGGCUUUCCGCGCCCAUCCUGUGCGUGCGGCCGGCUCGCGG